Molecule: ribosomal RNA, 484 nt
Filed under: uncultured bacterium
Lineage: Bacteria
Description: partial 16S ribosomal RNA
Rfam family: Bacterial small subunit ribosomal RNA
Source: RNAcentral
AUUGAACGCUGGCGGCAGGCCUAACACAUGCAAGUCGAGCGGAUGAAGGGAGCUUGCUCCUGGAUUCAGCGGCGGACGGGUGAGUAAUGCCUAGGAAUCUGCCUGGUAGUGGGGGAUAACGUCCGGAAACGGGCGCUAAUAUCGCAUCCGUCCUGAGGUAGAAAGUGGGGGAUCUUCGGACCUCCAGCUAUCAGCUGAGCCUAGGUCGGAUUAGCUAGUUGGUGGGGUAAAGGCCUACCAAGGCGACGAUCCGUAACUGGUCUGAGAGGAUGAUCAGUCACACUGGAACUGAGACACGGUCCAGACUCCUACGGGAGGCAGCAGUGGGGAAUAUUGGACAAUGGGCGAAAGCCUGAUCCAGCCAUGCCGCGUGUGUGAAGAAGGUCUUCGGAUUGUAAAGCACUUUAAGUUGGGAGGAAGGGCAGUAAGUUAAUACCUUGCUGUUUUGACGUUACCAACAGAAUAAGCACCGGCUAACUUCGUG